Molecule: ribosomal RNA, 253 nt
Filed under: uncultured bacterium
Lineage: Bacteria
Description: partial 16S ribosomal RNA
Rfam family: Bacterial small subunit ribosomal RNA
Source: RNAcentral
UACGUAGGUGGCAAGCGUUGUCCGGAUUUACUGGGCGUAAAGGGCGUGCAGGCGGUCUGUUAAGUUCAGGGUGAAAGCUCCCGGCUCAACUGGGAGAGGUCCUUGGAUACUGGCAGACUUGAGGAGGGUAGAGGAGAGUGGAAUUCCCGGUGUAGUGGUGAUAUGCGUAGAUAUCGGGAGGAACACCUGUGGCGAAGGCGGCUUUCUGGGCCUUACCUGACGCUGAGACGCGAAAGCGUGGGGAGCGAACCGG